UAUGCAACCUACCUUUUACUGGGGGAUAGCCCGGAGAAAUCUGGAUUAAUACCCCAUAGUACCUAAGGAUCGAUUGGUUUUUAGUUUAAAGAUUUAUCGGUAAAAGAUGGGCAUGCGUCUGAUUAGCUAGUUGGCGGGGUAACGGCCCACCAAGGCGACGAUCAGUAGGGGUUCUGAGAGGAAGGUCCCCCACACUGGCACUGAGAUACGGGCCAGACUCCUACGGGAGGCAGCAGUAGGGAAUAUUGGGCAAUGGUCGCAAGACUGACCCAGCCAUGCCGCGUGCAGGAAGACGGCCCUCUGGGUUGUAAACUGCUUUUAUCUGGGAAGAAAAAGUCCAUGCGUGGAAAAUUGCCGGUACCAGAUGAAUAAGCACCGGCUAACUCCGUGCCA
This 393-nucleotide ribosomal RNA is filed under the name uncultured Bacteroidota bacterium. RNAcentral's name for it is "bacterial SSU rRNA". It matches the Rfam family "Bacterial small subunit ribosomal RNA", at positions 118 to 510 of the family's 1533-position model. The record is from RNAcentral. Lineage: Bacteria; Pseudomonadati; Bacteroidota.